UACGUAGGGUGCGAGCGUUAAUCGGAAUUACUGGGCGUAAAGCGUGCGCAGGCGGUUUUGUAAGCCAGAUGUGAAAUCCCCGGGCUUAACCUGGGAAUGGCAUUUGGGACUGCAAGGCUUGAGUGCGGCAGAGGAGACUGGAAUUCCCGGUGUAGCAGUGAAAUGCGUAGAUAUCGGGAGGAAUACCGAUGGCGAAGGCAGGUCUCUGGGCUGACACUGACGCUAAGGAGCGAAAGCGUGGGGAGCGAACAGG
Molecule: ribosomal RNA, 253 nt
Filed under: uncultured bacterium
Lineage: Bacteria
Description: partial 16S ribosomal RNA
Rfam family: Bacterial small subunit ribosomal RNA
Source: RNAcentral